GAAUGAAUGAAUGAAUGAAUGAAUGAAUGAAGCUCGCUGGGUGUCCCUCCAGAUUCUCUGUCAUCUUGACAAUAUUUCUUUUCUCUCUCGAACUUCAAGUUGCAAGAGCUUGAAAAGAGCAUCUCGGAGACUCGCUGUGCUUGGGCGCUGAAAGCUCCCCUGUAGGGCAUGAAAGCACCCUCACCUUGCUCUGGAGCAGACCAGAAGUGCACAUGGGGACAAUCACUUGCCUCGGGGCACCCAGAUGCCUCACUUCUCCCAUGGCCCCAAACACGAGUGUCAUCGUCAUCCCUGACCCCGGACAUCCUUCUUCCUUCCAGACCCGGAGGCAGCUUGCCCCCUCAUGCCUGGCCUUCCCAGUGGGCCAUCCUGGCUUUGACCUCACAACCAGCAGACCCUCGUUCAACAUUCAAUCACUUCCGCUCUCAGCGCCCUGCCAGCUCUCCCUUGCCCUGGUUUUCCGCCCUGGAACCCGUGGGAGAGAAAUCUAGACGGGAAGAAGAGGAGAAUGCAGCCCCAAGGUUGAGUGUUAUUUAUGAAUCUACAUCAUAGCAAAAAAUAGACUACAUGCUAAGACAUAUACAUUGACAUAAAUUUUAUGAAAAUUAAAGAUAUUUCUGGUUCACCAUUUAAGUCACUACCACUUUGCUUAGUUAGGGUUUCUAUUGUUGGCAUGACCAAAGGUGACUUGGGGAGGAAAGAUUGAA
Molecule: long non-coding RNA, 707 nt
Filed under: Mus spicilegus (steppe mouse)
Lineage: Eukaryota; Metazoa; Chordata; Mammalia; Rodentia; Muridae
Description: lncRNA (ENSMSIG00000027738.1)
Source: RNAcentral